Molecule: small RNA, 792 nt
Filed under: Pongo abelii (Sumatran orangutan)
Lineage: Eukaryota; Metazoa; Chordata; Mammalia; Primates; Hominidae
Description: processed transcript
Source: RNAcentral
GUUCAUAUUCUAAAGAGAGCAGGCACUGAGCAAACGUUUAUUGAACUGAACCAAUCUGCUGGUUAUGGGGAUGUGACCUCCACUUCAUCGUGUCGAACUAAACAAACACAUAUUUCUCCAGACAAAUAUUGAAACUGGUGAACUUCAAAAUAAGGUAAAAAGCUCCUAUGUUUCCAUGCCUCAUUAUGUGCUACAAAAAAUUGAAUGAUAAGAACAAGAACAAAUUCCCUUGGUCCAGCACAAAUAGAGGAGGGUUCACUCAUAGGCAGCAUCUGAGCAACAGGCUCACCAGAUAUCAGCCUCUCCACACCGACUCUUCCAAACUCCAGCUCUCUUCAUUAAGAUAUUCUGGAAGCAACUGAGGAGUUUCUACAAACGUCUGGGAAAUUACAACAGUUCAAGUGGAAGUUUGUUUUCCUUUCAGUUAAGGUACGAGCUGUUCUGACUGCCGUGCAGGCAUUCACACGCCCGCUGCUAGAAAGCUGGAGCUGGAAGGAGCACUGGGGCCCGCUGAGUCCUCCUUUCUCAUGUAUGGAUGUGGAUGUGGAGGCAGGCCCUAAGUAUUAGUGUAGGUGCCGACGGUGCAGGUUGACUCACUUAAAGAAGAAUUUGAAUCAUUAUCUAACAGAAAAAAGACCAAUAACAAGCAUUAUUGCUGGAACAUUUUAUGGGUAGACUGCUUUCUAUACAUGAUUGGUGAACAUUGUAUUUCAAUUAAUUAUAUAUCCUGAUAAUAUAUGAAUUAAUACUGUGAUAUCAUGCAUACAAUAACAAUACUCAAUGGAAAUAUAG